AACGAACGCUGGCGGCAUGCCUAACACAUGCAAGUCGAACGAGAACUUCGGGCCUAGUGGCGCACGUGUGGGUAACAAGUGGGAAGCUACACUUAGGUUACGAAUCACUCACCGUAGGGGAUGCUCAUAAAAGUUAAUCUCAUACGACCAAAGAUUUCUUGCCUUUGGAUGGGCCUGGGUUGGAUUAGCUGGUUGGUAGGGUAAAAGCCUACCAAGGCGACGAUGCAUAGCUGGUCUGUGAGGAUGAUCAGCCACACUGGGACUGAGACACGGCCCAGACUCCUACGGGAGGCAGCAGUGGAGAAUAUUGGACAAUGGGCGAAAGCCUGAUCCAGCAAUGCCGCGUGAGUGAUGAAGGCCUUAGGGUUGUAAAGCUCUUUUACCCGGGAUGAUAAUGACAGUACCGGGAGAAUAAGCUCCGGCUAACUCCGUG
Molecule: ribosomal RNA, 433 nt
Filed under: uncultured bacterium
Lineage: Bacteria
Description: partial 16S ribosomal RNA
Rfam family: Bacterial small subunit ribosomal RNA
Source: RNAcentral